AAAAAAAAAAAAAAAAAAAAAGGAAAAGUUACCAUCCAGGGCAAAAGAGAAAGCUCAAAGUUUUAAAUUAAUGUCAUUUUUUUCCCCUGUCAUCUCUUCUUUCUCACCUGCUGCACGGUUUGACCCUUGGUCACAUAUUCAUUGCCAACCUUGACUCGGGGAUAGCAGAGGGCCUUGAGCAGGUCUGCUGAGUUCAGACCCAUCAGGUAGGCAGCCUUGUCAGCAACUGAGGAAACAGACAUACAGUGUGGUCAAGUAGUAGCUCUCCAGUAGAUGUAUCUGGUAGUAAUUCAGAAUAGUUUCUGCAGAACUCGCAUGUAAUUUGUCACAUAGUUUAAAAUACUAUAUUUUUUCUUGAUUUACUGUUUUUUUUUUCCCAUUUAAUUUAGAUGAUUUUUUAAAUGUAAAGAUUCUUCCAAAUGCCUUUACAAAGAACAUGCCAACUUUGAAACAAGUGACUAGACAAAGGGAAGGGCAAAGGGCCAUGAAAAUGGCAGGUCGAACAACCCACAAAUUCUGAAUUGGAAAAAAAGAAACUGGUUGGUACUGAAAUACGCUGUACUGAAGAUAGUGAAGUGUACAGAAAAAUAGUCAGUGAAACUCGACUGUCAUUAGAUUGAGAGAGAUAGAUUAGUGAAAUGUUAUGCCAAAAUUAUGAAAAGGAAAUUUCACCCAACUUUCAUACUGUUAUCACAUUGUCCCUAUGGACACGUAUCACACACAUAGGUCUUUUUCAGCUCUCUUUUUCUCUCAAUCUAGACUAUUAAAUACAAGCACUGGAGCACUGGAUAUACUCUCUUGUCACUUUCCAUUUCUUUUCACAGCAAUGAUGAUACAAAACACCAGUGCUAUUUACAAAAUCCUUUAAUGCGAGAAGGCCAGACUUUAUUAUAGAAUAUAUAUACAGAUGCUGAUUUUGAGCUGCUUCUAUUACGUGUGAUAUUUACAACUAAGUAUUUAAUGUACACUCAUCACUAAAAAAAGUAAGGCUUGAUUCGAGAAUGAAAAUGGAACUUACAUUUUAUUUAACUCUUUUACAGUUAUUUUUAAAUGUUGAAAUAGCAAUCUAAUUCUAUUAUACUCUUCUAUAAAUCUUUCCUUUGGAUAUAUUCAUGAAACGAUUACAACUAUUAUUUGUAGUUGGUUCUACUAUUAUUAUUUAUCAUUAUCAGAUUAGUCACUAUUGCACUACUUGCAGUCAUUUUCAUUUGUCUUAACUUUCCUGAAAAACUCCAGACCACACACACACACACAAAACUCAAGGAAAAAAAACUCCAAUGUUAACAGUAUGUGUUUAUGAUAUAUGCAAAUAACUCUAGUCUCAGGGAAGUAUUUCCACAAAUGCACCUUUGAACCAUAUUGGGCAAGGCAAACAUGAUAGACAUAUCUUAGAUGUCUAUUUUUCAAAAAAAAAGUCCUAGAGACUUGCCAAGACUCUACAGGAAAUGUAGAACAUAUAAACCACAGCUGCAGUAUUAACUGAUGUACCUUCUGUGCCGUCCGGCUCUGCCUGCUCCUCACGCUGCUUCUGCUUGAACUUCAGGUUGCCGUAGUGCAUGACGGCCCCGGUCAGCUUGUAAAUGGCUGUCUUCUCAUCAGGAGUGAAGCCCAGGAUGUCAAUGGCACUCUAACAAAAGAACCACUAGAUUGCAGGUUCCUAUCCCCAGGACCUCACCUGCAUUUUGCCUGAUGGCUGCUCCUCUUUCUUCUUCUCCCCACUGGCUGCAAUUGUUGCAAAGUACUGGAUGACACGCUUGGUGUUCACAGUCUUCCCUGCACCGGAUUCUCCGCUGUCAAAGCAAAGAGAGAAGCAGAGAGCGUGUGGUCAGGCAGGAGAUCCCCUGGCACCGGGCAGCCCCGCAGGGACCCAGCAGGGAGUGUACGUACGUGAUCAGGAUCGACUGGUUCUCGCGAUCUGUGAAUGAGACAGAAUGAAAGAUGGUGUUAGUGGUUGACCUGGGUAAUGCUGAGCUGGAUGAGAAGUGAAGCUGUAAUGGAAGUUGGGGCUUCUCUCAAGUCCAAGUAGUCCAAGACUGCCCAAUUCCUUUUUGGGCCCCAACAGUAGAAAGCAAAUGGAUGCAGAGGCAUGUGGUCUUCACAUGAGCUGCCCUUCACACAGCUCUUGUCAUGAAAUUUAAUGAAAGUGACUAUCUGUAUUCAAGAUAGAGGAUUAUAUGUAAUUAUAAUUCUUUCUGUCCCACCAAUAGAAAAAGGUAAGAAAGUCAAGUAGUAUUUUUACAGUGGGGGAGUGUAGAAUUUCCUACAAUUAAGUGCAAAUAAUACACACUGCUGGUCCACACAUGCUAUUGGGUCAGUUUUGCUUGAACUGAGUUCCUGCUUAACUUGAUCAAUUUCUUAAUCAUGCAGCUCCCUGGUGUUUUCAACUGGCUUGUCACAGGCCUUUUGGUUUAGAUUGCUGUGAAGCAGGUCAAGCACUCACCAGUCAACAUGAACUGAUAGGCGUUGUCAGAGAUGGAGAAGAUGUGUGGAGGGGCCUCCUGGCGCUUCUUGCCUCGGUAGGCCAACACCACCUCCGGGUUGUACACCGGCAGCCACUUGUAGGGGUUGACGGUGACGCAGAAGAGACCCGAGUAGGUCUAAAAAAGGGAGACAGGAUGCUGAUGUUGGAGAGCUGAGGAGAGUUACAGGUAAGGCAGAGGUGAAUCAGGUUCUGGGGAGACCAAGGUAGUGAAAGGAAAUGGAAGAAUCAGACAAUGGAUGAGAAAGGGCAUACAACAAGGAAAGGCAAAAGUGGGAAGGAAUGAGAGUAAGAGGAUUUAGAUAGCAAGAAGAAAACACUUGCAGGAAAGAAAGAAGAAAUAGAAAAAUGAGUGAAGAAGAAGACAAGGAUUGAAGAAGAUCUUCAGAGAGACUGAAAGGUGUCUUCACUAGUAAUUGUCUCCUUCUGCUGGUACUUACGUAGAUCAUCCAGGCUGCAUAACGCUCUUUGAGGUUGUACAGCACAGCAGGUUCGUGGAGGUGGGUCAUCAUGGCCAUGUCCUCAAUUUUAUCAUACUUGGGAGGGUUCAUGGAGAAGAUUUGAUCAUCCUUCACAGUAAGAGUCUGCCAAAGAAAAGAAGAUACAUAUUUGACAUCUAAAAGUCCACAGGAGGAUUAAAUUUUAUUCUCAAGCCUUUUACUCACUUCUCCACCUUCAGUCUUCACAGUGACCUUCCCUGCUUCCCUGCUCUGGAUUGUGCUUUUCACAUAGGAUUCCUUUGCAUGUACCACAAAGACAGAUGAUUUGGCAUCGAAAGGCUUGUUCUGGGCCUCGAUUCUCUCUUUUUCUGACUUUCGGAGGUAAGGAGCUGCCUCCCCAAAGAUCGCCAUCUCAGAGUCUGACGACAUGGCUGCUGUGUACUAGAGAUAAUGCAGCAAGUAUCUGUGAGGGUAGAAAAUACCUUAUAAUAGAGCAUGAUAGAAGAAAGACUCUUACAACACAGUGGAUUAGAUGGUGCUCUGCCGUAUGUGUCAACUGAUUGAGUUGACUCUUUCAUUAUUAUGCUAAUUAAGAGCUCUGUUCCAUAAUUUUAUUUCCUUUUCAUUAAUUUUUGGUAGUCAGAUCUCUAGGCCUGUUGGACGAUUGCAUUUACAGAGAAAUGCUUUUUGUUUUUCAUUUUCAUUUGUUGAAUUAACAGGAUAAACAGAUCCUUUCAAAAGCUCUAAACACUGCAUUCACUAGAUACUCCCAAUUUUGGAAUUGUGGAAGCCCUCUCAAGUAAUUUUUGUUUAGAACCUUUCGGAUUAUGAGAUUUGUUUACAAUAAAAUACUGGAAGAAGCACAGUACACUGCAUAUGCAGAGAUAAUAUUAUUAGCACUUCUCAUUAGAUGCAUUCCAUUAGGAUAAAACAGCCCAAGUUGUCAAACAUUUCAAUUAUUACACAGAUCCAUCUGCUAACAAACAAAGCUGAUGUUCUCUGCUUUGAUGUGUUUCAUAACAGAAAUCGAGUAAUCUUGCAUUCAUUCACUAGUAUUAAAAAAAAGUAUUAAAAAAAUUAUCAUUAACUCUGUUUAUUAUUGCCAAACUAUUUUCUUCACUGAAAAAUUUCAUGCAAUUGUGCUACUGGAAUUUAGGUAUAUUGUUCCAAAAUGAAUAAUGUUUCAAAUUUACAUUUUUUAUCCUAAUUUUAUCUCAUUUUUAUCACCUAGAAUUUGGAUUUUGAGCAGCUUUUCUCAAAAAAAUUAAGCAGAUCAUUUCUCUGUCAAUACAUUUACCUAUGGCAGACCUCUAGGUGAAAAUCAAAUAAUUGGUUAACUUUUCUUUGAGAAACAGUUUCACUCUGAUUUCAGGAAAGGUAUUUGAACUUUAAGCUCUUUUUCGAACCCUUUAUCAUUUAGCAGCCUCAUCAUUGCAAUAUUGCCAGCUUAACGUAAAGAAUAUUUUAAUAACACGGUAUUUUUGUACAUUGUAAAACUCAUUUUACCCAGUAUUCCCCUACUUAACCAUGAAAAAUAUUAUUUUGUGUUCUUAGCCGUCAAAGACAGAUUUGCACAACUUAUUGUUAUCAAUUCAAAUACGUGGGUACAAUCUCCUGACUGAUCAUUUUGUUUCUAACUACAUGAUUUUCCAUUUCAUUAAAGUGUUAUUAAUCAAAUGAGACCAUUUCACAAAAUAAUUAAAUAAGGCUCUAAAAUGUACCCAGUCUUUCACCAGCAGUUUUAUCAUUGCCUAUAAUAUCUCACAUUUUUUACAAGAUUCCUAACAGGAAUAAUACUAUAUAUAUUAGUGCAUACUAUGCUAGUAUGUAUUAUGUAAGUAUAUAUUAUAGUAUAUUAGUGUAUGUUAUGUAUAUUGCAUAUAUAUAUUGUAUAUAGUAUUUUGUAUAGAUAUUGUAUGCUAUUAUUAUUAUUAGAAUGUACCUUUAUGGUAUUAUUACAAUGCAUAUUAUACAUAGCAUGUUAGUAUACAUUAUGUGAGCAUAUUUUAUAUAAAAAUACAUUUUAAUAUUAUAUUGUUUAUAUUAUAUAUAUAAUAUUUAUGUCUAUAUAUAUUUAUAUGCCAGUAGUUUCCCUUUUUAAAGUAUUGGGUGACUAUUUUCAUUUGCCUGUUUUAUAUGAUUUUUCUACUGAAAUCAGUGCUAUGCUAACUCUCCUCCACUUAUUCAAAGCAUGCUAGUUAUAUCCUUUACACAUGAUAGCUUGUUGACAGUUUAUAAUUUUGAGGGAUAUAUUGCAGUGAAAAUAUUUGACAAAAUUAAUAGAAAUUAAAGUAAAAAAGUAAGUAUGAACAGUUAAUUUUCCUGUGUGCAAGUAUUUUAAAUUUUGAAUUUAGUUGCUGUUUCGUCUCUGUUUUUCUAGUUAUCUGAAUACGUAUCAUACUGUAUCAUUUCCCUGUGAUUCUUAAUAUUUUCUUAUGUAAUUAUAUUACAAUUGUGCAAUAUUUUCAUAACAUGAGCAAGCUUAUAAGGAAGGUCAGACUGAAAUGCCUUCUGUUAGCACUUUGAUGUUUUGAUACACAACAUUCUAGCCCCAUUCCCCAAGCUUCCCUGUGAAAAAAAUCAUUAAUGCUAUUUAAAUACAAUGUCUUUUCCCAUUGCUUCACAGCUAGUGCCAAUGACUCUUGAUAUUUAAACAAAAAUGUAAAAAAAAAGAAAUUGUUUGCCUCAGGAAUAUAUGUAAUUUAUGGACAAGUAACUGGAAACUACUUCCUGAUGAGGCUUCUCUUCUUAAAACCGUUUCUUCUAAGCUUAGGAUCUAAUGUCUGAUAAUGUAGGAAACCGCUCUUUGUGGAAGAAUCCUGGGGAGAAUGUGGGUGAUGCAGCAGUGGUCAGUACUUUUAAGACCUCUGUCUUUGAGAAUCUCGUGGCAAAGAUAUCGGCAACCCAGUCCAACUCCUGUACAGUAUUUUUAAAAUGUACAUAAAUAAAAGGAAUACAGGGAUUGCCAACACACCUAUAUAGAAGUCCUACCUUAGAGCAUCUCUAUCUCUUCCUAAAGAGUGAAUAAAUCAAGAUCUUACCUUUUUUUGAGAAAAGAUGAAUGACUCACAGACUGGAAGCUGGUCAGUGCUGCAAAACACAGUUAGCAACUUCCUUCUUACUGCUGCACAGAAUUCCAGAGCAAAUUUAGAGACAUAAAACAUAUGGAUGCCUCAAAAGCAGACUGAAAAUCCCAGCUGACACUGGCAGUCGCCCACUGAAUAAAUGUGAGCUUCUGUAGGAAUGCACUGGUGCUUGUGGAAUGCAGGGCCAGUUUCCCUUCAUCCCCCAGCUCCCUGUCCAAAACCUCUGACACACUUACCUUACAGAUUUCUGAGGAAGGACAAGACACACUGAUCCCAAGGCACUUUUAUAGUGUCUGAUCUGCAUAUGGAGCCACCACCUCCUCUUCCUUAGGUCAAAACAUUUUUGGCAAUCUCAACUUCUAUCAGAAUUGCCACUCAUACUAGAAGUGAAUGGAUAUAAUUAGACAUAACAGAUCUGUGAAUCAAUGUCCUAUAAAUAAUUUGACAAGAGAACCUGAGAAGAGGGGGAAGCAGGAGGGUGUGAUAAAGGAGAUGAAAGGGGCUACAUCAGUACUGUAAUCCAUUGGAUGCUGACUUGAGCAGAGAAAGUGAAGACUAAGAGCCAGUAUAUUGUAAUGAGAAAACAUGUAGGGAUGGAGAGGCGAAGGCACAGGCUCCUGCGUGCUGCAAAUGCUCUGCGUCUGCAAUCUGAAAAAGCAUGAGGGGUUCUACUGAAAUGUGGGUCAGAAGAAGGAAAUCCCAGUGCAAUAGGAAGCAUAUUAGUAGGAACAGAACUCACAGGAACGAGAAUCAAGGGAUAAUAUGAAUGACCAAGUAGUAAAAUGGACCAAAGGUAAGGCAAGGAAAGGGGAAAGGAUGAGUCUGAAGGUAGUGAUAAGGAAGGAAAUGUGGUUAAGGAAGAGGAAGUAUAUAGAGGUGUGAUUCAAAGGGGAUAACAAUAAGUCACCAUGGGCACAAGGACCAAUAAAAGAGCAAAACAAGGUAAGUCUAGAGUUGGAGAUAGAAGCCUCUAAGACCAGUCACUGAAUUAGAUCCCAGAGGAAAGCCAUAGAAGUUCAACUCUUGUUUCUGGGGCUGAAGUGUUUCAAAGAUCAUAGGAACAGGACGAUGGAAAUGUUGAACAGAAUUUAAGGCAUAUAUCCCCCUGGAGGCAGGAGAAAUAAGUGCUGCCUCAACAAAUAGGAGUCAUUCAGCACUGCUUUUGCAGGAUAAGUUUGCUAGAUGAAGGAAAGGAUUAAUAAAUGUAAUUUUUCUGGAAGAGAAACAGAGAAACAGUGAUGUCUUAUGGUAGUCUGGAAGAGAGGCAGUUAUUGUCAGAAGGAGCUGCUAGUAUGUGAAAAAAGCCCAUCUACUGUGCUGUUCCCUGGGAUGUUCCCCAACCAGAUGAAGGAGGAGGUUACCCAUGUUCUGCAACAGCACAAGGAGGGAAGUGGUGAAGAGGGCAGUGGAACGCCUGUGCUUUAUUGGGAAACAAUUUCAUCCUCAUGCAACAGAUCUUGAUUUUUAUUUUAUUUUUUUUGGUCAUGUGUUGGCCUUCAUUUUCCAAACUACAGUUCCUAUGACAAAAAAAGGCCAUCUGAACUGCAUCACAUAUCAGCAGCUUCACCUGUUCCCAUAGUGUACUGCCUCCUCACUUACAGCACCUGCUGUGCUCCACUCCCUCUUAGCAUCACCUACUCAGUGGUCUGCAGAAAGUGAGGAAAUUCCUUCCUCCUCUUCUCUCAGAUGACUGUGUUUCUGUGAUGGCACUGUAAUCCUGGGGGUGGGGAGGGAAUCAGCAGAGGUUAGCUUCACAUUUGGAGUAAAUUCACGGUGAGGAAUAAGUCUGAAGCCUAUGGCUUAAUCCUAACAGCUAGAUCCUCACCUGAGUAUAAAACAGCACUUCUUUCAUGCCUUUAAUGCAAUUCCAUUGUCUGAAAACUGGAAUUCACUCUGAAUUUCAGGUAUUUUAAUGACUCUCUAUGUUGUCUCAUCUUGCUCGUGCAUGCAGUUUUGACCUGGAUUAAAACUGGCUACAAAA
Columba livia (rock pigeon) is the source of this 7986-nucleotide long non-coding RNA. RefSeq lists it as uncharacterized. The transcript is spliced from 2 exons. The record is from RefSeq and is a predicted model, not a curated record. NCBI's taxonomy places the organism in Eukaryota, Metazoa, Chordata, Aves, Columbiformes, Columbidae.